RNAcentral lists this unclassified non-coding RNA (370 nucleotides) under Hevea brasiliensis (rubber tree). The record is from RNAcentral. Lineage: Eukaryota; Viridiplantae; Streptophyta; Magnoliopsida; Malpighiales; Euphorbiaceae.
UAGACCCUGGAUUUACAACACUAGGUAGGCUUCUUGAACAUUUUUAGUUGGGCUUUGUCUUUUAGGUGCCUCAAACCAAUUGUUUGAACUUGUGCUGAUUUAACAUUUUCCAUAUGCUAUUCUUAGCUAAAAUAAUGUAUGUAAGAUUUUCCAUAAUAGACAUCUCCCAAACCGUAUCUUGAUUUUUCAGCAAUAAUUAACCAUUAACCUAAUUAUUCUUGUGGUGAACCAUUGGCAGUUAUUUUAUUUGUUGAACAUUCUAGAAAGUACCAGCAACAAAUUGAUCUUAUUUUCUUUUUUCUACAUUCAAGUAUCCUACGCUGAUAUUUUCCUUCAAUAUUCUUCCAUUUGAUUUUUAGUAUGGCAGAAA